RNAcentral lists this ribosomal RNA (508 nucleotides) under uncultured bacterium. Its description in RNAcentral is "partial 16S ribosomal RNA". It matches the Rfam family "Bacterial small subunit ribosomal RNA", at positions 30 to 523 of the family's 1533-position model. The record is from RNAcentral.
AUUGAACGCUGGCGGCAGGCCUCACACAUGCAAGUCGAGCGGCAGCGGGAAAGUAGCUUGCUACUUUUGCCGGCGAGCGGCGGACGGGUGAGUAAUGCCUGGGAAAUUGCCCAGUCGAGGGGGAUAACAGUUGGAAACGACUGCUAAUACCGCAUACGCCCUACGGGGGAAAGCAGGGGACCUUCGGGCCUUGCGCGCUUGGAUAUGCCCAGGUGGGGUUAGCUAGUUGGUGAGGUAAUGGCUCACCAAGGCGACGAUCCCUAGCUGGUCUGGGAGGAUGAUCAGCCACACUGGAACUGAGACACGGUCCAGACUCCUACGGGAGGCAGCAGUGGGGAAUAUUGCACAAUGGGGGAAACCCUGAUGCAGCCAUGCCGCGUGUGUGAAGAAGGCCUUCGGGUUGUAAAGCACUUUCAGCGAGGAGGAAAGGUUGAUGCCUAAUACGUAUCAACUGUGACGUUACUCGCAGAAGAAGCACCGGCUAACUCCGUGCCAGCAGCCGCAGUAA